CAAGUCGAACGGGAUCCAUGAUGUAGCAAUACAUCGGAAGAUCUAGUGGCGAACGGGUGAGGAUCACGUGAGAAACCUGCCCCAGACUCUGGGAUAACAAUUGGAAACGAUUGCUAAUACCGGAUGACGUCGGAGAACCGCAUGGUUCACUGACGAAAGAUAUUUCGGUUUGGGAGGGUCUCGCGGCCUAUCAGCCUGUUGGUGGGGUAAUGGCCUACCAAGGCAACGACGGGUAGCUGGUCUGAGAGGAUGAUCAGCCACACUGGGACUGAGACACGGCCCAGACUCCUACGGGAGGCAGCAGUGGGGAAUCUUGCGCAAUGGGCGAAAGCCUGACGCAGCAACGCCGCGUGCGGGAUGAAGGCCUUCGGGCUGUAAACCGCUUUCAGCAGGAACGAAAAUGACGGUACCUGCAGAAGAAGGAGCGGCCAACUACGUGCCAGCAGCCGCGGUGACACGUAGGCUCCAAGCGUUGUCCGGAUUUAUUGGGCGUAAAGAGCUCGUAGGCGGUUUAGUAAGUCGGGUGUGAAAACUCUGGGCUUAACCCGGAGACGCCAUCCGAUACUGCUAUGACUUGAGUUCAGGAGGGGAGCGGGGAAUUCCUAGUGUAGCGGUGAAAUGCGCAGAUAUUAGGAGGAACACCGGUGGCGAAGGCGCCGCUCUGGACUGAAACUGACGCUGAGGAGCGAAAGCAUGGGUAGCAAACAGGAUUAGAUACCCUGGUAGUCCAUGCCGUAAACGGUGGGCACUAGGUGUGGGUUCCAACUAACGGGAUCCGCGCCGUCGCUAACGCAUUAAGUGCCCCGCCUGGGGAGUACGGUCGCAAGACUAAAACUCAAAGGAAUUGACGG
This 851-nucleotide ribosomal RNA is filed under the name uncultured bacterium. Its description in RNAcentral is "bacterial SSU rRNA". It matches the Rfam family "Bacterial small subunit ribosomal RNA", at positions 58 to 916 of the family's 1533-position model. The record is from RNAcentral.